Molecule: ribosomal RNA, 253 nt
Filed under: uncultured bacterium
Lineage: Bacteria
Description: partial 16S ribosomal RNA
Rfam family: Bacterial small subunit ribosomal RNA
Source: RNAcentral
GACAGAGGAUGCAAGCGUUAUCCGGAAUGAUUGGGCGUAAAGCGUCUGUAGGUGGCGCCAUAAGUCGGGUGUGAAAUCUCGGGGCUUAACUCCGAAACUGCAUUCGAUACUGUGGUGCUCGAGGACUGGAGAGGAGACUGGAAUUCAUGGUGUAGCAGUGAAAUGCGUAGAGAUCAUGAGGAAGACCAGUGGCGAAGGCGGGUCUCUGGACAGUUCCUGACACUGAGGCACGAAGGCCAGGGGAGCAAACGGG